AGGAAUACAAAACUAAAUAUCUGCCCUAUUUCCUCACGACAGAGGACAGCAAUGAGAAGCAACUGAUCAGUGACUUACAUGGAGUGCUGGAAAGGCUACAGAAUAAUCAAUUUCCAGCUCUGAGAAAAAAACAUAGUCAUCUGCCUUUGGUAUGUAAUGCUGCAAAGUCAUACUGAGAAAACCGAUUGUGAUGUAAUUAAAUAAGUUAAUUAGCUUUUGAAAUCUACAGCAGUUUAUUCAUUAUGGUUUCAUAUCACUAAUCAGUGUGAUCCAGGUGACCAGUGUGCGCUGAGGAAAGGCGCCAGGAUCGGAAAACUGUGCGACUGCUCGUUGCCGAGAACAUGCAACUCGUUUCUGCAUCGGUGUUUGUGAUUGUAAGGGCUGCAUGUCGAAUAUUUAAACUUUUAAAAUAACUGAGUAUUAAGAGCUAUUUACCCAUUAAAUGUGUCGUUGUGUA
This is a long non-coding RNA of Betta splendens (Siamese fighting fish), 457 nucleotides long. RefSeq lists it as uncharacterized. The record is from RefSeq and is a predicted model, not a curated record. NCBI's taxonomy places the organism in Eukaryota, Metazoa, Chordata, Actinopteri, Anabantiformes, Osphronemidae. The transcript is spliced from 2 exons.